AGCAAUUAUACCGUGAAACUGCGAAUGGCUCAUUAAAUCAGUUAUCGUUUAUUUGAUAGUACCUUACUACUUGGAUAACCGUGGUAAUUCUAGAGCUAAUACAUGCUGAAAACCCCGACUUCGGGAGGGGUGUAUUUAUUAGAUAAAAAACCAAUGCCCUUCGGGGCUCUUUGGUGAUUCAUGAUAACUUUUCAGAUCGCAUGGCCUUGCGCCGGCGACGGUUCAUUCAAAUUUCUGCCCUAUCAACUUUCGAUGGUAAGGUAUUGGCUUACCAUGGUUUCAACGGGUAACGGGGAAUUAGGGUUCGAUUCCGGAGAGGGAGCCUGAGAAACGGCUACCACAUCCAAGGAAGGCAGCAGGCGCGCAAAUUACCCAAUCCCGACACGGGGAGGUAGUGACAAUAAAUACUGAUACAGGGCUCUUUUGGGUCUUGUAAUUGGAAUGAGUACAAUUUAAACCUCUUAACGAGGAACAAUUGGAGGGCAAGUCUGGUGCCAGCAGCCGCGGUAAUUCCAGCUCCAAUAGCGUAUAUUAAAGUUGUUGCAGUUAAAAAGCUCGUAGUUGAACCUUGGGCCUGGCUGGCAGGUCCGCCUCACCGCGUGUACUUGUCCGGCCGGGCCUUUCCUUCUGGAGAACCUCAUGCCCUUCACUGGGUGUGCUGGGGAACCAGGACUUUUACUUUGAAAAAAUUAGAGUGUUCAAAGCAGGCCUUUGCUCGAAUACGUUAGCAUGGAAUAAUAGAAUAGGACGUGCGGUCCUAUUUUGUUGGUUUCUAGGACCGCCGUAAUGAUUAAUAGGGACAGUCGGGGGCAUCAGUAUUCAAUUGUCAGAGGUGAAAUUCUUGGAUUUAUUGAAGACUAACUACUGCGAAAGCAUUUGCCAAGGAUGUUUUCAUUAAUCAGUGAACGAAAGUUAGG
Molecule: ribosomal RNA, 917 nt
Filed under: Allophoma siamensis
Lineage: Eukaryota; Fungi; Ascomycota; Dothideomycetes; Pleosporales; Didymellaceae
Description: SSU rRNA
Rfam family: Eukaryotic small subunit ribosomal RNA
Source: RNAcentral